UACAGAGGUGGCAAGCGUUGUUCGGAAUUACUGGGCGUAAAGGGCGCGUAGGCGGCCAUCUAAGUCAGACGUGAAAUCCCCCGGCUUAACCUGGGAACUGCGUCUGAUACUGGACGGCUUGAGUAUGGGAGAGGGAUGUAGAAUUCCAGGUGUAGCGGUGAAAUGCGUAGAUAUCUGGAGGAAUACCGGUGGCGAAGGCGGCAUCCUGGACCAAUAUUGACGCUGAGGAGCGAAAGCCAGGGGAGCAAACGGG
This 253-nucleotide ribosomal RNA is filed under the name uncultured bacterium. RNAcentral describes it as "partial 16S ribosomal RNA". It matches the Rfam family "Bacterial small subunit ribosomal RNA", at positions 524 to 776 of the family's 1533-position model. The record is from RNAcentral.